Molecule: ribosomal RNA, 442 nt
Filed under: uncultured bacterium
Lineage: Bacteria
Description: partial 16S ribosomal RNA
Rfam family: Bacterial small subunit ribosomal RNA
Source: RNAcentral
CUACGGGUCGCACCAGUCGAGAAUCUUCCGCAAUGGGCGCAAGCCUGACGGAGCAAUGCCGCGUGAGGGAUGACAGCCCUAGGGUUGUAAACCUCUGUCAGAAGGGACGAAGAACGUGACGGUACCUUCAGAGGAAGCCAUGGCUAACUACGUGCCAGCAGCCGCGGUAAUACGUAGAUGGCGAGCGUUAUUCGGAUUUACUGGGCGUAAAGGGUCCGUAGGGGGUCUGCCAAGUCUGAUGUGAAAUCCUGCGGCUCAACUGCGGAACUGCAUUGGAAACUGGCGGACUAGAGUGUGCGAGGGGUGAGCGGAAUUCCUGGUGUAGCGGUGGAAUGCGUAGAUAUCAGGAAGAACACCGAUGGCGAAGGCGGCUCACUGGCGCAUCACUGACCCUGAGGGACGAAAGCGUGGGUAGCAAACAGGAUUAGAUACCCCCGUAGUC